UCUGCAGACUUAUGGAAAUAUGUUGCUGCAGCUGUUGGUUCAGUUCUGCUGAUAAUAAUUAUUGCUGCAGCAAUCAGAUGGAGAAAGAUUGAAGGAAACAAAACACAAAUGAAUAAAAACACAAAGUUGGUCCCUGCAGGGUCUCAGGCUGCAGGAGGAUCCAGUCACAACUUGGAUGAUCCUGAAGGUGGUGUCACCUACGCCUCCAUCAGCUACACCAAGAAGACCAACAGGAACAACAAAGUCAUUGAUCAUGAAGAUGAUGAUGGCUCAGUGGCCUACAGCACAGUGAAACCUUCAUCCUGAGAUGAUCCCAAUAAACUCUUUGCUGCCAUCAACAAACCAAAACACUGAGACAUUUUGUGACUCUACUGUUGGUGACAGUUAUGGUUAAUUCAAACAAGUAAGAAUUCAGAUUACACAUAAUCCCAAAUUAAAUUCAAAUAAUUUUGGUCAUACAUUUUAACAUAAAUUUAACAUUUUACUUUGAUAAUUGUUGUUUUUCUCUUUGAGACCAGAAGAGGGCGCUGUAAGACAAAGAUCACACAAUAUAUUUUAAUCUUUAGUAAAAGAAUAACAAAAUGAGAAAUGUUUAGGAAUUGAAAGUAUGUCGGAUUAUUGAAUACGACUUCACGUUGUGCACAAGUUGAGAAGUUUUUGUUAUUCAUUCAACUCUCUUUUAAUCUAUUUAGUAAUUCAUUUUUUCCUUGUGUUAUUUGUCUCGUUUUAAAAUAGUUUGGCUCAGUUUUUGCUGAGCCAGACAGAUUUAUUUGGUUAUUUGAUUCUCUUUACUGUAAUUUAUUGUGUUAUUUUUGCUUUUUAAAUUGAUUUUCUAGAGAUUUUCUUUUCCAUUUUAAAUCAUUUAUUAGUGACUUGAUAACAACUUAAGGUAACAAUGUUUCCUCAUUGCAUUAUGAAACCGCAAUGAGGGAAAAUACAUCAUUGCCUGUUUAAAAAUCUACACUGUCCUGUGAUAAUCAAUAAUUUUUUCUGUUUGCACAUUUAAAAAAAAACACACACAAAAACAGCGUCACUACUGUCACCUACUGUCAGUUUAAAUGUACUACAUCCUUGCUUGAUUUAUUAACAUCAGUUCUAUUCAUUUAUUUUUAAGGUGUAUUUUCUAUCAUUUUGAAGUUAUUUUUUAUUUUAUUUAAAUGUUUUUUCUGUAUUUUUUCAGUU
Long non-coding RNA from Xiphophorus hellerii (green swordtail), 1182 nucleotides. RefSeq lists it as uncharacterized. The record is from RefSeq and is a predicted model, not a curated record. The transcript is spliced from 5 exons. Lineage: Eukaryota; Metazoa; Chordata; Actinopteri; Cyprinodontiformes; Poeciliidae.